AGCGUAUAGAUUUACUUUGAUCCAUUCAACGUUUUAAACGAUAUUAAGCGGCGUGUAUCGCAUAACAAAAUAUCAACUCAAUAGAACCAGUCUACAAAUAAUUAUUAUGAAGUAAUCGUAUGUCCAAUGGAAACUUCUAAUUACCGUAACAUCUGCUGUUCUCGAGUAUAAAUCCCUAAAUAAAAGUAUUUGGCACAUCACUACCGUACGCAUCGCGUCUCCUUAGUGUGUGCCGAGGUCCAUCAGCAGUUGUAUGACUCUUAUGUUAGUGUACCACCAAUGAAGCACGAUAGGAAAACCCAAAAAGACCAAAGAGGAAGUUAAAGAAAAUAGAAGCAAUCAUCGAGAACGAAAAAGCAAUCAAAAAAAAAAUAAAGGAGAAAGAAGGGUACAAUAAAAAAAAGUAAAAAAAUACUGCCUUUCUGCGAAAUGCCACCAAAAGCCGGAAGAAAACUCAAAAAAGAAGUAGAGAAAUUUCAGAACUUAAUAUAAAAGACAAAAGGAAAAGGGAAAAUUGAAAACAAUCGACGAAGAAGGGACCUUAGAUAUAGAGGUGCUUGAUAACAAUAUAACAGAUCCUCUUGAAACUCUGUCACACCACAU
This 603-nucleotide unclassified non-coding RNA is filed under the name Melitaea cinxia (Glanville fritillary). RNAcentral describes it as "misc RNA ENSMCXG00005018243.1". The record is from RNAcentral. Lineage: Eukaryota; Metazoa; Arthropoda; Insecta; Lepidoptera; Nymphalidae.